GACGAACGCUGGCGGCGUGCUUAACACAUGCAAGUCGAACGGAAAGGCGCUGCUUUUGUGGGGUUCUCGAGUGGCGCACGCGUGAGUAUAACAUGAGUAACAUCUACUUGUAUUUCGGGUAACUUCUGGGAACUGGGGCUCAUACCGCAUAGGAGAUCCUGAAGCAUGGUGGGGGUUGGAAAGAUUCGGCUGUUGGGGCUGGACUGGCGGGUUAUCAGCUUGUUGGUGGGGUAGUGGCUGACCAAGGCUUUGACGGCUAGCCGGCCUGAGAGGGUGACCGGCCACAUGGGGACUGCGAUACGGCGCAGUAUGCAACGGGAGGCAGCAGUGGGGAAUAUGGCGCAGUGGGCGGAAGCCUGAGGCAGCAGCGCCGCGUGCGGGAUGACGGCCUUCGGGUUGUAAACCGCUGUCGCCGGAAACGAGGCGUGAGUGACGGUAAUUGGUAAAGAAGCACCGGCUAACUACGUG
Molecule: ribosomal RNA, 468 nt
Filed under: uncultured bacterium
Lineage: Bacteria
Description: partial 16S ribosomal RNA
Rfam family: Bacterial small subunit ribosomal RNA
Source: RNAcentral